Molecule: long non-coding RNA, 423 nt
Organism: Dermacentor silvarum
Lineage: Eukaryota; Metazoa; Arthropoda; Arachnida; Ixodida; Ixodidae
Exons: 4
Source: RefSeq, a predicted model, not a curated record
UAUACGAAAUGCUGUACACGUACAAAGGGCUCAUUUGACAGACACAAGUCUGGAGAUCUGCGUGCUGAAUUCAGAAGGCCCCGCUGCUAAGCAUUAGGUUCUGAUGGCAAGCUGGGUCUCUUUUAUGAUGACGAUACAGUCAUUAGUGGCCCUUAUAUUUGUAACGCAUGUCGAGUGCCUCCAGCAAGAAGUCAUGUGCCCAGUGAAGCACCGGCGAAAUGAGUGCGUCUUUUUCGGGCAUCAAGUUGCCGCUGGUGAGACCAAACGCUUGAGGAACCCGUGUGUACUAAUUUCUUGCACCAGACAAGCUCUGGGAGUGAUUAUAUCAGGAUGCCCACACCAUGGUGUACCAAACGAGCGCAUUCCCGGAAGAGCUGCACAGAAUGACGGUUCUUGGCCGCAUUGUUGUGAUAGAUGUCGCCG